AUUUGAAAGGUGAACCCACUACUUCUGAAUCUAAAUUGAGAACCUUGCAUAUAGGUUCCCUUCCCAGCAGAUGUAGCGCUAAUCCAUCUGUUAUCCUUAAAGGACAAUUCCGGUAUUUUGAACAUUGAGCCCCCUUUCUGGUUUGUUUAGGAUGAAAUAGAGUGGGUAACACCGAAAUUUGAACUAUUAGUCCUUUCUCGGGUAUUUGGCUCAUUUUGAAUCGCUCCUGCCUGCUUCACAAUGGUUGUCUGUGUGCAUACACCAACCUGUCAACCCAGCAACCCUAAAAAAUGUGCAAGUAACCGAGUGGUUAGUGGCAUUCGUGAAGUUUUAAAAAAAAUUAUCGGCGCAAUAUAUGGUUUCCAUCCGUGUUAGUUGCUAAUUGGAACUAUUUUUUCAGAUAGCUCACAACCGCAUAUAAACUUCCGCUCGCUGCGUUACGAUGGUUACACAGCUGGUUACACAGUUCGAUCACCUGUUGACGACAAUAUUCCAGAGGAAGAAGAAGCAUAAUACUAAUAAUAUAUAUAGGCCUAUAUGUAUAUAUAUAAAUAAUAUAAUAUAUAAUAAUAUAUAAUAAUAAUAAUAAGAAGAAGACGUUCAACUUCAUUUUCUGUCGAGUUCAAAACCAAGGCAUCAGCUGUGGUUACCGUGCAGUCGAUUAUGGGAAGAAUUUGUGCGGUCAGAAACUGCGGGAAUAUAUCAAGAAAAAGGAGUUGUCAUCGGCUUCCUCUCAACACCCCUAACAGUUAUAGAGUCAGAAAGUUGUGGCUUUCAUUCCUCGGGUUUGACAUAAACACCCCUGUAAAUGUACUUCGGGAAGCUGACCAUCGCGUUUGCGCCUUUCACUUUCGGCCUGAGGACUACCUUCAGUCAACAAGUCAUCGAAAGAAGUGUCCGAAGAGACUGCAUCUGAAAAGGGCAGCUGUACCGACGCUUUGUGGACCAACGCUAGACGAAGAAGACCUCGGGGCUGUUGGCGGUGUGGUGGACCAGCCUUCUACCUCCAGCAUAUCCUUGGUCCUCACCAGUCCACAGCCACGGCCUCACCAAUCCAAUAAAUCCCCAAGGAAGUCCUUAUCUGGCAGUUACCUUGCUUUCCCUGUGAUCAGGGAGAGGCUCUCACUAUCUCCAGAUGAUUGUGAAACUGAGAUGCUUCAAAUGGACACAAGCAUUUCCUCAGUCAUUGAGGAUGACCCAAAAGACAUGAGCUUCAGCCUCAGUCAACAGUCAAGUUCAAGUGAAACCUCCAGUUCAAGUGCCUCAGAAGAGCAAGGGGAGUGGGAUGAAAGAAAAUGGAUUGUGAACGAGUCUAGCAUCAUGCAACUGUUUAGAACAUGCCAUAUAUGUGCCGCACAAAUCACGGAUAAAAAAGUGACAAAACUAUUUUUCUUCCUAUAAAGGUAUUAAUUGAGAGUAUCACCACUAUUGUACCUGAAACAGGUUUGGCCGGCCAGUAUGAAUACUUUGAAGGCAUUUUUCUCAGUUUCAAUGUUGGCGUAGUUACUGCACUUUGCCUUUGUAGGGCAGUACAGGCAGCCAACUAAAGAUUGAAUGGACAUGUUUGAAUAAUCAUCAUGGCAAGUGGGCAUCAUGUCCUGAUGCAAGAGGAAUGGCACAGAAUAACCUGCUUGUUUCCGCUGCUACGCUUUUCUCUGGAACAACUUUCACUGAAGUACACGAGUGGGCCAGCAUCCUAAACUUGCAACUCUUGAAGAAAUCGCAGUACUACUCCAUCCAAUCCGACUACCUUAUUCCAGUAGUACACUUUGCAUACAAAGAUCAUCAUGAGAAUCUCAUCAGGCGACUUAUUGGACAAAAGGCUGAAGGCGAGUCCAUAGAGCUGUGUGGAGAUGCCAGGUCUGACUCACCAGGUGAGUGUGUUUUUUUUCUUUAAUACAAUAACAUGGAGGUAUGGAUUGUAAGACUGUUGGAAAUGUUUUUCUCUGGAUAGUAAGGAAGACUCACAUGUUGUUACACUAUUACAUUCUACAGGCUACAGCUGCAAGUAUUCCACCUAUUCGUUUCAGCUUCUAUCCAGUAAUGAGAUCAUUCACUUUGAACUACUACAGGUAAAACUAAAAUGCUGCUUGUCUGAUUUGUGAAACUAUACUCUGGGUGACAGAGUAUAGAUAAAGCAUUAUUCAGUGGGUGUAUUGUAUUUGUUUUUUUGCUAUUGCUCAUUCAUUCAUUAGGGGUCCAAGCAAACAGGUUGGAUCCUUAUUGUUUUUGUAAGGAUUUUUAGGGGUCCAAGCCAACAGGUUGGAUCCCUAUUGUUUUUGUAAGGAUUUUUUUUAUACUUCCCCCCGUACUUGUGGGACUACAGCCCAAAACGUAAAUGGUGCACACGCGCCAAUUGCAUGACUAGAUCCAGAAUCGGCACCGCUACUCAGAUAACAAAAUCCAGACACGCCGGCCACUAGGUGGCGCUAUACCAAGGAAUACGCGUUUGCGGCUAUAACUCCCACACCGAACCUCCCAGAGUCCAAAAACUUGUACACACAUAUGCACUGGAGUCUGCUGCAUCUUUUGGCCUAGGCCACGCCCAUUUGCGUCUAGGAAUAUUUUUCGCUAAAUCGCGAAAACCGCUAAACUGU
Molecule: long non-coding RNA, 2597 nt
Organism: Gadus morhua (Atlantic cod)
Lineage: Eukaryota; Metazoa; Chordata; Actinopteri; Gadiformes; Gadidae
Source: Ensembl